AACGAACGCUGGCGGCAUGCCUAACACAUGCAAGUCGAACGAAGGCUUCGGCCUUAGUGGCGCACGGGUGCGUAACGCGUGGGAAUCUGCCCUUGGGUUCGGAAUAACGUCGGGAAACUGACGCUAAUACCGGAUGAUGACGUAAGUCCAAAGAUUUAUCGCCCAAGGAUGAGCCCGCGUCGGAUUAGCUAGUUGGUGAGGUAAAAGCUCACCAAGGCGACGAUCCGUAGCUGGUCUGAGAGGAUGAUCAGCCACACUGGGACUGAGACACGGCCCAGACUCCUACGGGAGGCAGCAGUGGGGAAUACUGGACAAUGGGCGAAAGCCUGAUCCAGCAAUGCCGCGUGAGUGAUGAAGGCCUUAGGGUUGUAAAGCUCUUUUACCCGGGAUGAUAAUGACCGUACCGGGAGAAUAAGCUCCGGCUAACUCCGUG
RNAcentral lists this ribosomal RNA (433 nucleotides) under uncultured bacterium. RNAcentral's name for it is "partial 16S ribosomal RNA". It matches the Rfam family "Bacterial small subunit ribosomal RNA", at positions 29 to 507 of the family's 1533-position model. The record is from RNAcentral.